RNAcentral lists this ribosomal RNA (279 nucleotides) under uncultured bacterium. RNAcentral describes it as "partial 16S ribosomal RNA". It matches the Rfam family "Bacterial small subunit ribosomal RNA", at positions 506 to 784 of the family's 1533-position model. The record is from RNAcentral.
UGCCAGCCGCCGCGGUAAUACGGAGGGCGCAAGCGUUGUUCGGAAUCACUGGGCAUAAAGAGCAUGUAGGCGGUCUUUUAAGUCAGGUGUGAAAUCCCUCGGCCCAACCGAGGAACUGCACCUGAUACUGAAAGACUUGAGGAUGUCAGGGGUAAGUGGAACUCCAGGUGGAACGGUGAAAUGUGUAGAUAUCUGGAGGAACACCGGUGGCGAAAGCGGCUUACUGGGACAUCACUGACGCUGAGAUGCGAAAGCUAGGGUAGCGAACGGGAUUAGAUA